UUUGGCCUAUCGGUCCUGAACUCUUAUAAGCCUUAAGUGGAUAUUAAACAGUUUUUGUAGCAUGACUUACCCUCCCUGAGUGGUUAUUGCUUUGGUAAUCCCAUAUGUUAAAUGCUGCCAUGAUUAGCCAGGAAUAGAGAAAAUUUAUUGAUACUUACCGUAAUUUUCCUUUCCUGGCUAUUAUUCAUGGCAGCAUUUGGUCUCCCACCCUCUCUUGGUUUAUUUGUCUUGUUACUAGACUGAGGUGUGGGGGAUACUGGGGUACCUAAUAUACUAGGGGAAGGUAGGCUUAAUUGUUU
Molecule: non-coding RNA, 299 nt
Organism: Pelobates cultripes (western spadefoot toad)
Lineage: Eukaryota; Metazoa; Chordata; Amphibia; Anura; Pelobatidae
Source: the annotation of a GenBank genome assembly